UAAAAAAUUUUGGCGGUAUUUUAAGCUUAUUAGAGGAAUUUGCUCUGUGAUGGACACAACGCCUUAAUCUUACUUAAUUUAGUAAUUUAAAUCAGUUUGUAUACCACUAUAUUAAUUAUAUUGAAUAGUUAUAUUUAAAAUUUUUUUAAAAAAAUAUAUUAAGUCAAGGUGCAUCUAAUAAUUAUGAAUGAAGUGAAUUACAUUAAUUUUAAUGUAAUUUUUUACAUGAAAAAAUUAAUUAGGAUUUAAUAGUAAAAUACUAAUAUUAUGAGUAUUUGAAUCAAGCUCUAAAAUAUGCACAUAUCGCCCGUCGCUCUCAGAAGUGAGAUAAGUCGUAACAAAGUAAAAAUACUGGAAAGUGUUUUUUAAAAUGAAAUCAUUCGAUGUUUCAUUUACAAUGAAAAUUUUGUUGUUUAACCAUUUUAA
RNAcentral lists this ribosomal RNA (426 nucleotides) under Ixodes scapularis (black-legged tick). RNAcentral describes it as "partial 12S ribosomal RNA". Lineage: Eukaryota; Metazoa; Arthropoda; Arachnida; Ixodida; Ixodidae. The record is from RNAcentral.